GGUAACCCAAAGUUUGGUUAGUGGCGAACGGGUGAGGAAUACAUGGAUAACGUACCCCGGACUCAGGAAUAGCGGCGGGACUUCGGUCCCUUUGCGAAAGUGCCGGUAAUACCUGAUGACCUCGUAGUAUCGCAUGAUACAUCGAGCAAAGCCCCGACGGUCCGGGAGCGGUUCAUGUCCUAUCAGCUUGUUGGUGGGGUAACGGCCUACCAAGGCGGCGACGGGUAUCGGGCGUGAGAGCGUGAACCGACACAUCGGAACUGAGACACGGUCCGGACACCUACGGGUGGCUGCAGCAACGAAUAUUCCGCAAUGGACGCAAGUCUGACGGAGCGACGCCGCGUGCAGGAAGAAGUCCCUCGGGAUGUAAACUGCUGUCAGGGGUUAGGAAGAUCUGACCAGCCCCAAAGGAAGCACCGGCUAACUCCGUGCCAGCAGCCGCGGUAAUACGGAGGGUGCAAGCGUUGUUCGGAAUCACUGGGCUUAAAGCGCGUGUAGGCGGAAUACCAGGUGUCGUGUGAAAGCCCCGGGCUCAACCCGGGAAUGGCGCGGCAAACCGGUAUUCUUGAGGCAGGUAGAGGUGACUGGAACGACUGGUGGAGCGGUG
This 607-nucleotide ribosomal RNA is filed under the name uncultured bacterium. Its description in RNAcentral is "bacterial SSU rRNA". It matches the Rfam family "Bacterial small subunit ribosomal RNA", at positions 77 to 683 of the family's 1533-position model. The record is from RNAcentral.